CACUAAUUAGUCCCAUAUUUGUGAAACACAUGAGGAGGAAGUGAUGUAAGACUGGGCUAGUAUAAAUUAACAGCCAGGCGUCAUCCCUAACACAUUGCUGCUUUACAGAGGGAGAGACACAGACACUGCUAUUACAAGUGUCAUAAAGUCACUCUAAAGAACUCAUACUACUAAUUAGAGGACUAACAACCUAUCUACGGUGAUUCGGUUCACAGUUUUACUGAAUUUACUGAUAUAUACCCUUGAAGAAGUCAGUUAAACGCGUUGGGUCAUCUACACAACAGCCUGCAACAUUUGAGGGGCAAUCCACCUAUGAGCUCACACCCAUUAGUGUGAGGUGGAAGUCAUAUUACAUCGUAUCCCCCGAACUAGCAGGUUAUAUGUUAUUGUUGCGUAUGAUAAAAUAUUGUACUUUAUGUAUUGCAUCAUGCCUUAUAUGAAGGUCACUUUGUCUGCUAAACAUGAAUAAAUCAUUUUAAGCAAAUUUACUUAUGGUAUUUUAAAAUAAUAUAUCUUCAGGGUAUUUUAUAGAAUAUAUCCAUAGCGCACUGAGGUAUUUUUGUUGCUUAUAUCUAUUUUUAGUCCCCACUAGCAGGGGAUUACCAUUAGUGUGCUGCUACAGAGUUCCCAGCGCAAACUAUAGGAUACUGUAGAUACUGUAUUAAGCCCAGGUCCCGAAAGGGGUGUAUUUUUUUAG
Long non-coding RNA from Pseudophryne corroboree (corroboree frog), 697 nucleotides. RefSeq lists it as uncharacterized. The transcript has 3 exons. The record is from RefSeq and is a predicted model, not a curated record. NCBI's taxonomy places the organism in Eukaryota, Metazoa, Chordata, Amphibia, Anura, Myobatrachidae.